CAAAGAAACUCUCAAAUUGAUAGAAUGAAGAUCCAUUUAAAAUGGAGAUCCCUUUAAACAUCUGAGGAAGAAGAGAAAGAGAAGGAAGAGGAGGAGGAAAAGGAGGAGAGAACAAGAAGACAAGAACAUCAUCAUCAUUAUCAGAUAUGGCUCCACCCAAAGGCCAAUGACUUUUACACUUGGAAAUGAUGAAUGAUGAUACCCAAGAAAAGUAAUGAAAUAAAAAGCCAGCACCCAACUGUCUUAGAGGAAUUCAAGUGCCCCAGGCCCAAAUGAACUUUAUUUUCUGGGCCUGAAAGAACUGGAAGAUACAGUUGCUGAGCCAUCAGAUCUGAGAACUCAAAGAUCAGGAGGACUCUUUUGGGGAAGGAGAAAGCCCGCAGGGAGACUGUAUAACAGCAGGGUUGGGUACUCUAUAAACACCUGUGGAAGAGGGAGACAGGAGGAGAAGAGGAUAUGAACCGAUUGUUUCCAUCAGAAAUCUUCUGUAGGAGAGAAAACACCCUUUCCUGGGAGAAGGAGGGGGGAGAAAAGAAAGAAGGGGAAGAGCAGCAGAGGAGGAAGACUAGAACAUCCUAAUGUAGAUGGGGAAGACUGCACACGGCGGGAUGAAGGCAGAGGGGCUGGUCUUUGCUGUGGCUUUCAUGUCUCAGGUUACUCUACCAGCGGUCCAGGCACGUUGGAAGACACUCUGGAUGGGGGGAAGAUUACUAUCACAGCUGUAACUGUGGCAGGGAAGCCGUAAACACAGCAGACCCAGUCUCCAUGGUGGCAGGAGGGGGCACUGGAGGUGACAACAAUGGAGAAGGACCUUCCUUCUGACAAGUUUUAGAUACUCUGGGCUGAUUGAGUGAUGUAAUGACUUCAUUUGAGAACAGAAGGGCUUCAGGGAAUACAUUCAGCCAAGCCCCCAAAAAAGACUGCCCUGGAGUGAAACAAAUACCUUUGAGAUUUCACUCAGGAAGGAUGGGUGCUUCACCAGUUUUCUGGAAGAAUUUUACUCUCGGCCACAGAGGAUUGGAUCCCCUAGAGCUACGGAGAUUUGGCAGCAAAAUUUUGCCACAGGUCUGAUUGAGAGAGAGAGGGAGAAGAGAGUUCCUCAACAGGAACAUGUAACUCAUGUAUGAAAUUGACUGAAGAACAUUUUUGACAUCACUUGCCCUAUUUGGUUGUUCCUCUUCUCUACCAGUGGGUGACGGAUCGCAUCCUGCCAGCUGGCUAAUAUCGUAAUUAACAAAGUUGCAACCACAUCGGAGAAGUUUAAUCGAAAAAUUUGCCGGCAGUAUGAUGGCAUUGUCCCAGAGAUCACAAGCUAGGCAGCAACGACUUUCGCUCUGGGAGAAGGCGAGAUGAGGGAGUCUGAACUUAGCCAGUCCAAGCUUCUCAAGCGCCCCUUAAGCUUCGUUAAUGAGGUCCGUUGUGGAAUAUCUGGUGCGUUCCGAUGUUGGGAAUAAAAAUCUCGUCCUCUUGAAACUCUGACUGAGAAGUCAACAAACAACAAAUGCAACUCCAUCAUUUAUCGUGUGUUUGUGUUGCUGUUGGACUUCACAUGGUCCUGUAAGAGAGUCUCAAGCCUGAAUUGCCAAUCUCCAAAGGUCUAGUUGUGAUUGGAGCUGGGCUUGCUUUGCAGAUCUGUGCACCCAAAGACCAAGAGGGCAGAAAAUUGGGGAAUUUACUCCCAAGAUCGAUUUUUCUAUGUGGAAAACAAAAAUGUGAAACAGGGAAGACAUCACCAAAAGACAUUCAUCUGGAGAAACUCAUUAAGACUCUGCUAUUGUUUGCAAUACACACACACACACAUACACACACA
Antechinus flavipes (yellow-footed antechinus) is the source of this 1810-nucleotide long non-coding RNA. RefSeq lists it as uncharacterized. NCBI's taxonomy places the organism in Eukaryota, Metazoa, Chordata, Mammalia, Dasyuromorphia, Dasyuridae. The transcript is spliced from 12 exons. The record is from RefSeq and is a predicted model, not a curated record.